This is a long non-coding RNA of Raphanus sativus (radish), 998 nucleotides long. RefSeq lists it as uncharacterized. The transcript is spliced from 3 exons. Lineage: Eukaryota; Viridiplantae; Streptophyta; Magnoliopsida; Brassicales; Brassicaceae. The record is from RefSeq and is a predicted model, not a curated record.
UAGUAAUAUAACUUUGAAAAAGUAACUGUAGUCAAUCUGCAAACUGUGUUUCAUUCUAGAUUCUAUCAUUGUUUUUGUCUUGGAAUAUGUGAAUCGCCGACAAAAUGGGGGAAUCUCAGAUUCUACUCGUAGAGAGCUUUUCUUGGUCUCUAAAGACUUUGUUUACUUUAUGGAUCGUCUUCUUUACUCUCCUUCACAGCUCAAGCUGCUCUUUCUAAUUCUUUGAUUAAGCACAUGUCCUGGGCUCUCAAGUGGACUACAGGAUCAUCAUCCUCCAGAACCUCCUCCCAAUCAGUUGAUUGUUUGUUGUUCAAUACAGGACUAGUUUUUUUUAAUGUAUCCACUUCUUGUGUAGACACAACUAAUUUUUUUAAUCAGAGCUUCAUGCUGUUGAUGAACUUAACAGCAACAUCUUCAAAAUCACUCCCCCCUUGUCCCACUACAAGCAGGGGGAGAUUGGUGGCUGGAUCAUUUCAAGGGGUUACUACAAUAGCUGGGGGAAAAUCAAAUGUGGCUGGAUACAGAGAUGGACCAAGCGAGGAUGCUAAGUUCUCUAAUGAUUUUCGAUCUUGUAUAUGUUCGUCCUACUUGCUCGUUGCUGGUCAUCGACAGAGGAAACGCAGCUGUUCGCCAAAUCUCUCUUAGUGAAGAGGUCUGUGAGUAUCACUAUACCUUGGUGAAGCCUGUAGAGUACAGUAACAGUUCAAAGUUUGAUCAUCUCAAUAUGAGGAGCAACAAUUACGGACCUGAAACUCCAUUUCGCUUCUAGAGAUACAAAUCAGAUAUCAGAACUCAAUGAGCAUUGCUUUUGUCAGAGAUUUACUUAUGUCUUUGUAGUUUCAGAGCGAAGUCCUUUUACACAGAUGAAGAGAAAACAAGGUUAAAGAAUGGUAUUGUAGUGAAAGGACUGUUGAUUUUGUUUUAAGCUGUCAUUUGCUUUGUUGGUUUUUACCAUUGAGUUAAGGUUUGAUUUUAUCAAAAAAAAAAACAUUGUGAGA